RNAcentral lists this ribosomal RNA (404 nucleotides) under uncultured bacterium. RNAcentral's name for it is "bacterial SSU rRNA". It matches the Rfam family "Bacterial small subunit ribosomal RNA", at positions 355 to 776 of the family's 1533-position model. The record is from RNAcentral.
UGGGGAAUAUUGGACAAUGGGGGCAACCCUGAUCCAGCCAUGCCGCGUGAGUGAUGAAGGCCUUAGGGUUGUAAAGCUCUUUCACCGGGGAAGAUAAUGACGGUACCCGGAGAAGAAGCCCCGGCUAACUUCGUGCCAGCAGCCGCGGUAAUACGAAGGGGGCUAGCGUUGUUCGGAAUUACUGGGCGUAAAGCGCACGUAGGCGGACAUUUAAGUCAGGGGUGAAAUCCCGGGGCUCAACCUCGGAACUGCCUUUGAUACUGGGUGUCUUGAGUAUGGAAGAGGUAAGUGGAAUUGCGAGUGUAGAGGUGAAAUUCGUAGAUAUUCGCAGGAACACCAGUGGCGAAGGCGGCUUACUGGUCCAUUACUGACGCUGAGGUGCGAAAGCGUGGGGAGCAAACAGG